This 512-nucleotide ribosomal RNA is filed under the name uncultured bacterium. RNAcentral's name for it is "partial 16S ribosomal RNA". It matches the Rfam family "Bacterial small subunit ribosomal RNA", at positions 28 to 507 of the family's 1533-position model. The record is from RNAcentral.
GAUGAACGCUGGCGGCGUGCCUAAUACAUGCAAGUCGAACGAAACUUCUUUAUCACCGAGUGCUUGCACUCACCGAUACAGAGUUGAGUGGCGAACGGGUGAGUAACACGUGGGCAACCUGCCCUAAAGAGGGGGAUAACACUUGGAAACAGGUGCUCAUACCGCAUAACCAUAGUUACCGCAUGGUAACUAUGUAAAAGGUGGCUAUACUACCGCUUUUGGAUGGGCGCGCGGCGCAUUAGCUAGUUGGUAGGGUAAAGGCUUACCAAGGCAAUGAUGCGUAGACGAAGUGAGAGGUUGGUCGGCGACAUGGGAACUGAAACAGGGCCCAAACGCCUACGGGAGGCAGCAGUAGGGAAUCUGCCACAGUGGGCGAAAGCCUUAUGGAACAACGCCGCGUGGGUUAAGAAGGUCUUCGGAUCGUAAAACCCGGUUGUUAGUGAAGAAAGGGCUUGAGAGGAACUGUUCACGUAUCGACGGUAUCUAACCAGAAAGCCCCGGCUAACUACGUG